GACGAACGCUGGCGGCGCGCCUUAUACAUGCAAGUCGAACGAGUACGGACUUCGGUCCAUAUGUACGAGUGGCGAACGGGUGAGUAACACGUGAGAAACCUGCCUCGGAGACCGGGACAACCAUUGGAAACGAUGGCUAAUACCGGAUGUCCUUACACGACCGCAUGGUCGAGUAAGGAAACGAUCCGUCGCUCCGGGAGGGUCUCGCGGCCUAUCAGCUAGUUGGUGAGGUAACGGCUCACCAAGGCAUCGACGGGUAGCUGGUCUGAGAGGACGAUCAGCCACACUGGGACUGAGACACGGCCCAGACUCCUACGGGAGGCAGCAGUAGGGAAUCGUGCACAAUGGGCGAAAGCCUGAUGCAGCGACGCCGCGUGGGGGAUGAAGGCCUUCGGGUUGUAAACCCCUUUCAGUAGGGACGAAAAUGACGGUACCUACAGAAGAAGCUCCGGCCAACUACG
RNAcentral lists this ribosomal RNA (461 nucleotides) under uncultured Acidimicrobiales bacterium. RNAcentral's name for it is "bacterial SSU rRNA". It matches the Rfam family "Bacterial small subunit ribosomal RNA", at positions 28 to 505 of the family's 1533-position model. The record is from RNAcentral. Lineage: Bacteria; Bacillati; Actinomycetota; Acidimicrobiia; Acidimicrobiales.